AUGGUAUUGCUAAUACCAUUGUAAUACAUUACUGAUCUAAUCGGUGAAAUUCACCGAUUUGUAAUCCAGAUUAGGCGCCGCUUCAGUUUCCCUUUCCUGUUUUACCCUCCCACCGGCUUCCCCUUUGUUUCUCUUCUGUUCCUUCUAGCCUCUGCCGAUUUGCUCCCUCCCAUCGAUUUCAUUUGUCAGUUCGUCGGCAGUCGUUCUUCAAGACACACUCCGUUGGAGCUGCUUAGAAGCUAGUAGUAUUGUUAAAGAAAUGUUACUUUUGAUGAAUUGGGUAUCGAUAUUUCUAUGGUUUUUUGCUCUUUUUUGUCCAAAAGAAGUUGCUUUUUCAACCGAGGAUUGCAUUUAGAGCCCUAAAUCUCAUAGGUUCAAAGGAGUAGACAUUUGACAGUUAAAAGCUCUUGCAAUACUGAUCUAGGAAGAUGAUGGAUCAUUUCGGUUCUGAUGCAAGAUGUUUCGACCUGAUGCAAGAUGUUUCGAAAUCUCAAUGUUUGUUUCAUUUCUCUUUUCAAUUCCAACAUUGCAAUGUGUUUUUCUCGUCUUUGUUUGCCUAAUAAAGCAGGUACCUUUUUGUUAAAUGUUUUCUUGAUCUGUUGGCCAAGAGUUUGUGCUAAGAUUUGCAUUUCAACUUUAGGUAUUAUUCUUAUUUAUGCUGUGGAGACUCGUAUCUAUAUAUAAACUAAACUAUGGAACCACUUCUGAGUAAUUUGCAAAUAAUGAAUGAAUCAGCUUCUCAAGCUAGUAUUAAGCUGUGUCACUUUCAUCUGCGCAUAAUGUGAUGGUUUGAUAGUUGAAAUUAUGGAUGAUCUGAAUCUAGCUGUAGGUGAUUAAAUAUAUGAUCACCAAAGUAGUGGCAUCCAUCUAAAGUAGUUUUCUACCUUCUUGGGAUGAGUUCAGUUAAGUCUAUAUCAUCAUCCUCGCCUUGGCAUAUUGCAUUCAUUUUAGCUAUAGAGUAAUUUGCACAAUUGGUGAUUAUCGUUUGACAUUUCUCAAUCUUCUAUACUGGCCUAGUAGUCAUUCUUCUCUCCUAACCUUUCUCAUAUGU
Molecule: long non-coding RNA, 1051 nt
Organism: Gossypium raimondii (Peruvian cotton)
Lineage: Eukaryota; Viridiplantae; Streptophyta; Magnoliopsida; Malvales; Malvaceae
Exons: 4
Source: RefSeq, a predicted model, not a curated record